GGGAAAAGCUCAAAUUUAAAAUCUGGCAGUUUUUAAUUGUCCGAGUUGUAAUUUAGAGAAGUGUUAUCCGUGCUGGACCGUGUACAAGUCUCCUGGAAUGGAGCGUCAUAGAGGGUGAGAAUCCCGUCUUUGACACGGACUGCCAGUGCAUUGUGAUGCGCUCUCAAA
This 168-nucleotide ribosomal RNA is filed under the name Agaricales sp. RNAcentral describes it as "partial large subunit ribosomal RNA". It matches the Rfam family "Eukaryotic large subunit ribosomal RNA", at positions 100 to 261 of the family's 3401-position model. The record is from RNAcentral. Lineage: Eukaryota; Fungi; Basidiomycota; Agaricomycetes; Agaricales.